GCCGACUUAGCUCAGUUGGGAGAGCGUUAGACUGAAGAUCUAAAGGUCCUUGGUUCGAACCCGAGAGCCGGCA
Molecule: transfer RNA, 73 nt
Filed under: Nematocida ausubeli
Lineage: Eukaryota; Fungi; Microsporidia
Description: tRNA-Phe (GAA) (tRNA-Phe-GAA-1-1)
Rfam family: tRNA
About the family: Transfer RNA (tRNA) molecules are approximately 80 nucleotides in length.
Source: Rfam by way of RNAcentral